UACGUAGGGUCCGAGCGUUGUCCGGAGUUACUGGGAGUAAAGCGCGCGCAGGCGGCCCGCGAGGUGUCACGUGAAAGCCCCGGGCUCAACUCGGGAGGGUCGUGGCAAACCGGCGGGCUUGAGGCCGGUAGAGGUGGGUGGAACUCCUGGUGGAGUGGUGAAAUGCGUAGAGAUCAGGAAGAACACCCGUGGCGAAGGCGGCCCACUGGGCCGGUGCUGACGCUGAGGCGCGAAGGCGUGGGGAGCGAACGGG
Molecule: ribosomal RNA, 253 nt
Filed under: uncultured bacterium
Lineage: Bacteria
Description: partial 16S ribosomal RNA
Rfam family: Bacterial small subunit ribosomal RNA
Source: RNAcentral